GCUCGGCACUGGAACUACUAACUAAAGUCCAAACUUGCUUUUAACCCUCCAGUUUUCUAAUCCUAAUUUCAAAAUUGCGGUUUCAGGACAGAGUGGUUUCGGUGGAGCACCAUGGGUAAAAGGGCAGAAGGAGGGGCAACAGGAGGUGAUAGACAGAGGUGGGUAAAGUUCAAAGAAAUACUGUAAGAACAUAAGAAGUAGGAGCAAGAAUAGACCAGCUGGCCCAUCGAACCUGC
This is a long non-coding RNA of Hypanus sabinus (Atlantic stingray), 236 nucleotides long. RefSeq lists it as uncharacterized. Lineage: Eukaryota; Metazoa; Chordata; Chondrichthyes; Myliobatiformes; Dasyatidae. The record is from RefSeq and is a predicted model, not a curated record. The transcript has 3 exons.